UGGGGAAUAUUGGACAAUGGGCGAAAGCCUGAUCCAGCCAUGCCGCGUGUGUGAAGAAGGUCUUCGGAUUGUAAAGCACUUUAAGUUGGGAGGAAGGGCAGUAACCUAAUACGUUGCUGUCUUGACGUUACCGACAGAAUAAGCACCGGCUAACUCUGUGCCAGCAGCCGCGGUAAUACAGAGGGUGCAAGCGUUAAUCGGAAUUACUGGGCGUAAAGCGCGCGUAGGUGGUUUGUUAAGUUGGAUGUGAAAUCCCCGGGCUCAACCUGGGAACUGCAUUCAAAACUGACAAGCUAGAGUAUGGUAGAGGGUGGUGGAAUUUCCUGUGUAGCGGUGAAAUGCGUAGAUAUAGGAAGGAACACCAGUGGCGAAGGCGACCACCUGGACUGAUACUGACACUGAGGUGCGAAAGCGUGGGGAGCAAACAGGAUUAGAUACCCCCGUAGUCCCUGAGCGGGCUGGCAAGGCGCAU
This 472-nucleotide ribosomal RNA is filed under the name uncultured bacterium. RNAcentral describes it as "bacterial SSU rRNA". It matches the Rfam family "Bacterial small subunit ribosomal RNA", at positions 355 to 825 of the family's 1533-position model. The record is from RNAcentral.